This 2224-nucleotide long non-coding RNA is filed under the name Gallus gallus (chicken). Its description in RNAcentral is "long non-coding RNA NONGGAT005023". Lineage: Eukaryota; Metazoa; Chordata; Aves; Galliformes; Phasianidae. The record is from RNAcentral.
CUGAGGGAGAAACGACACCGAAGGAGCAAAGGUCAUAAAGUGCAGAAGGGGCCGGAGAUGGUGGCUGAUGGGGCUUUGGGGGAUGGGAAAUGGACGAUGGCUGCAAUAAUGUGCGUGAGGUUACAGUGGGCUGAGCUGCGGGAGCGCCGUGCUAAUGGGGCAGAAAGCAAUCAGGGGCUUUGAUGCUCUGCUGUGCAGCAUGGGUGGUGCUCGCUCUGCUCCCCAGUUUGCCCAGCGCUGAGUGUGGGAUGUGGCACAGUGUCCUGGGGGUGAAAUGAGCACUGAGGUCAUGAAGACAGCUGCACACCCGAGAUCCCUACAAGAGGAUUUGCUUUGUCUCCAUUGUAAUGCCCUUAUGGCAUCCAUGGCAUGGAUAGGGCCAUGAAUCGACCUCUGCACUGCAUUCCAUUGCAUUGCUUUGCACUGGGUUGGGGUUGCACUGCAUUCUGUUGCAUUGCUUUGCACUGGGUUAGCAUUGGGGUUGCACUGCAGUCUGUUGCAUUGCUUUGCACUGGGUUAAGGUCAGGGUUGCACUGCAGCCUGUUGCAUUGCUUUGCACGGGGUUAGCGUUGGGAUUGCACUGCAGUCUGUUACAUUGCUUUGCACUGGGUUAAGGUCAGGGUUGGUGUUGCACUGCAUUCUGUUGCAUUGCUUUGCACUGGGUUAGGAUUGCAUUGCAGCCUGUUGCAUUGCUUUGCACUGGGUUAGGGCUGGAGUUUUGUUCUACUGCACUGCUUUGGGUUGCACUGAAUUGCAUUGCAUUGUAUUGCACAGGAGCUGCGGGAGCUGACUUUGGGGCAGAGAGCUGAGCCUCCUCCUUAGCAGUGAACCCACACCUCUGCCCAUGCACAAAGCUGAGGCAGCCACAGCUUUGGAUGGGAUCGCUCCGUUGCAAAGGGGAAGCGCUGCUCUGAGCUCUGCCUUAAUGCCUCUCUGUGCCAUUCCAGUCGGGGUGGAAAUGCAGCCACUUCCCGGCUCCUGUUCUAAUGAGAUCAGUGCGCGCCCCUGGGAAAGGUGAGUGUGACACAGGUGGGACGUGGCUUUGCAUGAGCAGCUCCAUGCAUCCCAGCUGCAGGGUCUUCCGUGCAUGCCGUGCUCCAAGCAUCAGAGUCACUGGGCAACGCCGUGCAGCAGCAGGGCGGGCUCUGCAAAGGGAAUUGCAUCUGAACAGCGUUGCAUCUGAAUAGCGCUGCACCUGCAGAGUGUUGCAUCUGAACAGCAUUGCAUCUGAACAGCACGGUACCUGCACAGUAUUGCAUCUGCACAGUGUUACAUCCAAACAGCGUUGCACCUGAGCAACACAGUGCCUGCACAGUGUUUGCAUCUGAACAGCACAGUAUCUGCACAGCGUUGCAUCUGAAUAGCAUUGCACCUGCACAGUGUUGCAUCUGAACAGCAUUGCACCUGCUCAGCAUUGCAUCUGAACAACACAGUACCUACACAGCGUUGCAUCUGAACAGAACAGCACCUGCAUAUCAUUGCAUCUGAACAGCAUUGCGACUGCGUGGCACUGCAUCUGAAUAGCACUGCGCCUGCACUGCUUUGCACCUGCACGGUGUUGCACCUGCACUGCUUUGCACCUGCACAGUAAUGGCAUUGCACUUGCACAGAAGGAGAGGGAGAGAAAGCAGCCCUGGGAUCGGGACCUGCUGCUCACAGGGCCCCGCAGGGCUGUGCCCUCACUGUUUGCCCACAUCCCACCGAAAUCCCACGGGAUCGAUGGGGGUCGGCCGGGUGCACCGCCCCGAGGCCAUGGGAUCGAUGAGGAGUGAAGGAAAUGCGGCCGAAGAUGCGCGGUUUUACAGCUUCCUCCCCAAGAACGGCCGUGCUUUAUGGACUGCUGGUAAUUGCCAAUUAAUUGCGCUGCAGCCGAGGGCAGGAAAGCAGCCCGCAUCCUCCAUACGGGGUGGGCAGGAUAUCAGAGUCCGAAGGUGUUACCACUCCUCCACUUAAUGAAGAAAAAUCACGAUGGAGGCGGCCGGAGGCAACGCAAUGGGAUUGCAGCGGGGAGGAGAGGACUGUGUUAACACCCAUUAAUAAUAAAUAACCGCCAUAAUGAGCUCUAAUUAAUUUGGUCACACGUUAGAGAUCGCUUCCUUCUUUUUUAAGCUUGUAGGUUUUUCUGUGCCGGAGCAUCCCUGCGCCCUGGCUGUUCCCAGCCCCUUCCAUUCAACGUGUGAUAGAUGGAUUGAUACGCAGCUUUAAUCAGUGUAAUAUAUAAAGC